UACGUAGGGUGCGAGCGUUAAUCGGAAUUACUGGGCGUAAAGCGUGCGCAGGCGGUCUGUUAAGACCGAUGUGAAAUCCCCGGGCUUAACCUGGGAACUGCAUUGGUGACUGGCAGGCUUUGAGUGUGGCAGAGGGAGGUAGAAUUCCACGUGUAGCAGUGAAAUGCGUAGAGAUGUGGAGGAAUACCGAUGGCGAAGGCAGCCUCCUGGGCCAACACUGACGCUCAUGCACGCAGCGUGGGGAUCAAACAGG
RNAcentral lists this ribosomal RNA (253 nucleotides) under uncultured bacterium. RNAcentral's name for it is "partial 16S ribosomal RNA". It matches the Rfam family "Bacterial small subunit ribosomal RNA", at positions 524 to 776 of the family's 1533-position model. The record is from RNAcentral.